This is a non-coding RNA of Bemisia tabaci, 1025 nucleotides long. The record is from RefSeq and is a predicted model, not a curated record. Lineage: Eukaryota; Metazoa; Arthropoda; Insecta; Hemiptera; Aleyrodidae.
UCGAGAAGCCUUUCUUUCCUUGAGUUUUUCAACCUUUUUGGCAAUCUUCAACCUACUGUGCCAUAUUUUUGAACUUUCGUGACUUUCAGCGUGUUGUCGUAUCCACUAGUUGAUAUAAUUUCAAAAUUAUUUAGUUAAUCUCUCGGUGUAGCUCGUUAAAAAGUGCGUAAAGAUUAUCCGGAGUGCGUUACGUUGGGAGAUUUGAUGUGCGGCUGAACUUGUGCUAAACACGAAAUUGACAGUAUCCUACAUUUGCCCCUCCAGAUAUUAAGAUUUUUUCAUACUCUACUUGAACUUCAAUUUGUGCUGAGGUGUUGCAUUUCAGGAAUCGAGAAUAAAAGACAUGGACCGCAAGAUAAAAAAAGAAGACUUUCCUGACUACAGUGCGAUAAAAAAAGAAGACUUUCCUGACGACAGUGCGGAAUCCACCUCCGCUCUACCCAUCGCAUGCAUCAGGGCAGACAGAAAUUAUGGUAUUUUAAAGAGAGUUAAGGGUAGGGUUGUAUUCCUCACCGGAAUUGAAGAAUGGAGGUGUUACAGUAAGUCUGGCAUUAGGUUCCAUUUCGACAUCAGCGACAAAACUGGAAGCAUUCGAGUCAACGCUUGGAACGCUGCUGCAGAAUUCGCCGGGAGUAUAAUUGAGCGGGGAAAGUCAAUAGAAUUAAACAAUGUACUAAUUUGUUUCCGAAAUAAACGUUAUAAUAAUUUAGACCACAAAUUUGAACUGUUAAUACCGGAGCACACCUUCUGUGAAUGCACCUUGCGAGAGAUAAGUCAAAAAAUUGAUGUACUGGAAGAGAAGUGCUCUUUUACAGAGUUAUCAGAAGUAAAAAACGUACCAAAAUUUACGUACUUCAGCAUUUUCGGCAAAAUCACUGCAAUCUCCGAACCUUUUUCGGGUCAAGGACCGAAAUUAAAUGAUUAUGAAGGGCACUACUUAGAUGUUGAAGAUAAAAAUGGGACUGUUGUGAAAGUUGCAGUGUUUAAUAAAUAUUUUCCGGUAACGGAAAACAUUAAGGGGAAAA